Molecule: transfer RNA, 94 nt
Filed under: Aetokthonos hydrillicola
Lineage: Bacteria; Bacillati; Cyanobacteriota; Cyanophyceae; Nostocales; Hapalosiphonaceae
Also listed under: 2 other names
Description: tRNA-Asp
Rfam family: tRNA
About the family: Transfer RNA (tRNA) molecules are approximately 80 nucleotides in length. Their secondary structure includes four short double-helical elements and three loops (D, anti-codon, and T loops). Further hydrogen bonds mediate the characteristic L-shaped molecular structure. tRNAs have two regions of fundamental functional importance: the anti-codon, which is responsible for specific mRNA codon recognition, and the 3' end, to which the tRNAs corresponding amino acid is attached (by aminoacyl-tRNA synthetases). tRNAs cope with the degeneracy of the genetic code in two manners: having more than one tRNA (with a specific anti-codon) for a particular amino acid; and 'wobble' base-pairing, i.e. permitting non-standard base-pairing at the 3rd anti-codon position.
Source: RNAcentral
GGGGGUGUAGCUCAGCUUUGUUUGAGUGCCUGUCUGUCGAACAGGAAGUCGCGAGUACCCUUCGGGAAGCAAGCUACAAGCCUCGUCAUCCCCG